RNAcentral lists this unclassified non-coding RNA (306 nucleotides) under plant metagenome. RNAcentral's name for it is "partial contains 5.8S ribosomal RNA, internal transcribed spacer 2, and large subunit ribosomal RNA". The stretch from base 1 to 105 matches the Rfam family "5.8S ribosomal RNA", at positions 50 to 154 of the family's 154-position model. The record is from RNAcentral.
GAAAUGCGAUAAGUAAUGUGAAUUGCAGAAUUCAGUGAAUCAUCGAAUCUUUGAACGCACAUUGCGCCCGCCAGUAGUCUGGCGGGCAUGCCUGUCCGAGCGUCAUUUCAACCAUCAAGCCCCCGGGCUUGUGUUGGGGACCUGCGGCUGCCCGCAGGCCCUGAAAACCAGUGGCGGGCUCGCUGUCACACCGAGCGUAGUAGCAAUCACCUCGCUCAGGGCGUGCUGCGGGUUCCGGCCGUUAAACAGCCUUACAAAACCCAAGGUUGACCUCGGAUCAGGUAGGAAGACCCGCUGAACUUAAGC